AUUGAACGCUGGCGGCAUGCUUUACACAUGCAAGUCGAACGGUAACAGGCCUUCGGGUGCUGACGAGUGGCGAACGGGUGAGUAAUGCAUCGGAACGUGCCCAGAGGUGGGGGAUAACGCAGCGAAAGCUGUGCUAAUACCGCAUGUGAUCUGAGGAUGAAAGCGGGGGACCAGGCAGCAAUGUUUGGCCUCGCGCCUUUGGAGCGGCCGAUGUCAGAUUAGGUAGUCGGUGGGGUAAAGGCCUACCAAGCCGACGAUCUGUAGCUGGUCUGAGAGGACGACCAGCCACACUGGGACUGAGACACGGCCCAGACUCCUACGGGAGGCAGCAGUGGGGAAUUUUGGACAAUGGGCGCAAGACUGAUCCAGCAAUGCCGCGUGCGGGAAGAAGGCCUUCGGGUUGUAAACCGCUUUUGUACGGAACGAAAAGGCUCUGGCUAAUACCUGGGGCUGAUGACGGUACCGUAAGAAUAAGCACCGGCUAACUACGUG
Molecule: ribosomal RNA, 492 nt
Filed under: uncultured bacterium
Lineage: Bacteria
Description: partial 16S ribosomal RNA
Rfam family: Bacterial small subunit ribosomal RNA
Source: RNAcentral